UAUCUUAAAAUGUACUGUUUGGCAAAUACUGAUUUACUUCAACUCCUCCUAAGACCUAAGGCCAACAGUAAAACUGAAGCCCAAGACGUGGGAGGAUUUGCCCAAGGCUGCAUAAUCAGAGGAAAAUCCAGCCAUCCUGACUCGGAACUGUCUCAGCAGGCCUGGCUUUGAAUUUCAGACGUUGCCAUGGAGGACCAGGGGAUCUCAGAUUUGCAGGAGAGAUAUUAUCAUGAUCCCCAUUCUGCAGAUAAGACAACUGAGGCUCAGAACAGUGAGAAGACUUUCUGAGCAGUCUUCCAUCGGGCAGUGUCGGGAUUUGAACCCAGGUCUCAAAGAACAUCUACGAUCUAUGGUGUAUUGGAGCCUUGCUCUGUGCCCAGCAUUUUAAUAACAGCAGCAUCACAGCAAUAACAAUACUGAACCCUUGUCUGCACUUGACUCCCGUCAGCUCAUUUAAUACAACAAUCCUCAUGCACCAGAACCCCGAUUUCCAGAUAAGGAAACACAGCACGGGAAAGAUAAACAUUCUGUGCAUCCUGCUGGUUAGUGCGGCACAGCCACUUUCAGAACUCAGGCCUGGCCACCAGCCAACUCGGAACGCCCUGGCUGAACCCCUCCAUCCGCACAUGGCCCCAGCGUGUCUCCUGGCCCACCACCCCCGGCAGAGCCUUUGAUGUUUACAAUUCCACCCUGGGAGGCUUUGAAAACUCCCCCUACACGCCGCCUGCGACUGCCGCCUGCCCCGCCAGGGCUUGUAUCCGCCCAGCCUGCCUUGCAAUGGCUUUUAUUGAUUCUCUGGCCUGCCAGCCUGUGCCGGGAACACACUCUUUUUAAUGGAGCGUUAAUUGGGAGGGAAGAGAGAGAAAGCUGUUCCCCUGCCCAGCAGGGACUGAGUCUCCUGUCUCCUCCUCCUUUCUCCCAGGCUGGGAUGUGGCGGCAAGGACCCCAGGCCUGGCGUCCUGGGCAGGCCUAGACUCUUCCUGCUGCUGACUCAUGGCGUGACCUCGGACAAGUUCCGCUUGGGCCUCAGCCUCCUCAGCUGUGAAAUGGGAGCAGACAGCCCUGCUUCUCAGGGCCGGAGUGAGGAUUACUUGGAAGAAGGAAUCUAAGAGUCUUAGUCCAGUUUUUGGUACCUAGUAGGUGCUCAAUAAAUCAUCAAAUCUCUUCUGGCCUCCCAAUUCCCAAGACAGCCUGAGUUUGAAUCUGGGCGGCCUUGGACAAGUUACUUUCAGCUUUCUGUGCCUCAGUUUCGUCAUCUGUGAAAAGAGGAGACAGACAGGCCCCACCUCCUCUGGUUGCCUUCACUGAGAUGCUACAGGUAAAGGGCGGAGUGCGGUGCCUAGCGGAAAGUAAAUGCUCAAUCAAGGUCCCAGUUAGUAUCCUCAUAGUGACUGUCAGGCCUCAGCGCCCUUAUCUGGAACAAGGGGCCCCAUUCCUCUUGAAACCUGCGCUGAUCAUUAGCUCUAGCGUGUCACAGCACUUAACACACUCUUCUAGACUGUGCUGUGACACUGUGCCCCAUCUCGUCCUUGUCUUUGUAUUUCUUCUCUAUCUGUUUGACUUACCCUUUCUAUUAAUUUUUUUUUUUUCUGUCAAAACCUGUGACGUGGUUUCUACUUCCCUGACUGUGCUCUGACUGAUAGAUACAGCCCUCAAAGGCCCCAGCCACUGGGUCAGGUUGAGGUGUCUCCUGGAAGCCAGGGAGAGCACAGCUUUUCCAGAAAGAUAACUUCUGUGGCCUGCAUUCCUGAGCCCUGAAGUCACCUGUGUCACGCUGUCACAGCUCACCCUCUAAGGGAACAAACAUUCUCUUGGCCAUUCCUGGGGCUGAGGCCUACACCCUUCUCCCGGGCUCUCUCUCACUCCUGCCCCUCACUCACCAGACACCUCCACGUAUCCGUCCUUGGUCUUCACCAUCAGCUCCUCUGGCUUAAAGCUGUGCACGUUAACACACACUUUCCAGGGCUCCCCAGGGAAGGGUGGGGGGCUCCUGCCCUGAGCAGGUACCCCGAACCUGGCUGCAGCCGUGGGCCCCCGAGGCACCAUGCCUGACCUUAGGGUUCCAGGCCAUGCUGGGGAGAAUCGAGGCAGGGCCCAGUUGUGCCAAGAGGCAGUCAAGUCGUCCGGGAAGGGGUCCAUGCCAAAGUCAUCAUCCAGCAGGCGCGAGGGGAGGGAUGAGUCUCGGAAGGGGUCUCUGCGCAGGCGGCUUGGGAGGUGGCAGGAGAAGGGCAUCUGACCAUCAGCCAUGGCUGCUGAGCUGGAGGGGAAACGGAGGCUCAGAGAGAGGGAGCCACCUGCCCAAGGUCACACAGCAAGGUGAUGUGGGUGGGUUGGCCCUCCAAGCUUAUUUUUCUGCUUCAGAAAAUGCCGAACCAUCCACUGCCAAGGACAGAGGGUGUGCACCCGGCUGGGAUCCCAGCCCCCAAAGACACUCCAAAGGCUACCACCAGCUGGUCCAGCAGAAUUCCAGAGGGCCCCUCUCCGCUCUGCCUCACCAGAGAUCCGCCAGUCACUGUCCUCCCAGACUGUCCAGGCUCUCAGCCAGAGCCACUGAGAUGUCUAGAGGAGAGUCAGGAGCUUAAUAAACCCAGGGACGCAGGCCUAGAAACUUCUCCUUGCUUCUUCAGGGCUGAGAGCCUUCUAUUUAUUGCUGCUUGGGGCUGGAGGCGGGUUUUUCGAGCGCCUCCUGUCACAGGAGUAUUCGGAGGUGAUGAACCAGCCCCUGAGAAUCCGCUGAGGGAACAGCUGGGCUCCCAGGGGUAGGGGAGGGGCCGAGUUCAGCCAGCCAGUCGGACACUCUCUUCCCGCCCCCCCCUCCCGGCUGGGCUCAGCUCCGCCCCCUCUCCCAGGGCUCGCUCCGGAGCCGCCUCCCCACUCUCAGUGCAAAGGCCGGCUAUUAAUAACCCUCUGCCUGCUGAGGGCUCAGGUCACCCUCGGUAAUACCUUCCCCAGAGCCUGCUGCCUCCUGCAGAAGGAGGGGAGAGGGUUGGGAGCCCAGUGCAUCUGAAGGCAGGUGGCUUUGGGCCGCAAUGCCCACUUACAACCCGGCGUGGACACUUGCCUUCAGUGUCCUCUGAGAGCAGUAACAUUAUUCCCCAGCCACCUGUGAGCUGUCAGUUUUCCCAGCUGUAAAAUGGACCCCAUAGUAGCCACUGCAUGGAUGUGUCAUGAGGAACACAUGAGGUAACCAUCCUUAAACAUUUAGCAGACUGCCACUUUCGCAUAGUCAGUUUGGAGUUCUCCAUUACACGAUGCUUGCUGUAUGCUGGGUCCUGUUCUAAGCGCUUUCCAAAUAUGAAACCGGCUUCAACGGCACCACCAAUCCCGGGAGCAGUGCCUGCAUGAGGCCGUUUGCUAAAAAUAAUUCUAUGGAGAGCAACAGUUACCAUCAUUUUUGGCCUCCCCUUAUGCUUCUGUGGUGAGCACGUGCCAACCCGUUGAACCGUCACAACAUCGGGGAUGUUAUCACCACCCCCAUUUUGCAGGGGUCUGGAGCUCUUGUUCCAGGCGUGGGCGCAGAUCCUGGUGGCCUGCCGCAUUCAGGCUCCAGAUGGAGAAAGACCCACGUCAGAGUUCCCUCCGUUGGACACCCCAGGAGCCCAGCACAUCUGCAGCAAAUAGGAGAGGUGUAGGCUCGUGUCUUUUUCCAUUCCCUUUCUCAGACCCCCGAUGGAAUUUCCAGCACGUUCGGCUCCACGGGGGCAGGACCCUCGGGUGUCUUGCUCGCAGCAGCAUCCCCGGUGCCUGGAAGGGUGCCUGGUGCGUUGUCGGAGCUCGGCAGGUCUUGCCAAGCAGGUGAUGUCCCGUUAGCGACCCAGUGUCACAGUUGCCUGGCUCACAUGUGGCAGACCCUAUACGCAGUAACAGCAUUAGAAUAGGGCUAAAAUUUCCAGAGUGCCUAGAAGGUGCCAGCACCCAGUGGAAUGCUUUCCAAGCGUGCUAUUUAUUUAUUCCUCACCACAGCCCCCCUCCCAGAAGUUCAUACCAUCAUCAUCUCCAUCUGACAGAUGAGGACACUGAGGUUCAACACGGGAGGGAACUUGUCCAAGGCCACCAGCUUGUGGGUUCUAAACCCAGCUGUGUCUGAACUUCAAGCCCUGUGCUCUUUCCUUGGCCAAAUGCCGGGGCAAAUACAAGAUGAUUAAUAAAUGAAAUAAAUAAAUAACCCACGUGGUCCCUCCCUACCCAAGUCAAUGCCCUCAUAAUCCUACACAGCUAAUGCUUAUUUAUUCAGCUCUAGCUUCCUGCUACUAUUAUGUCCAAAAUUCUUUCCAGAAUGUUCUGAAUAACAGUAAUUCACGAUUGCUACGCUUUCUGUUUUGUGGAGGAAAGUUUUAUUAAUUAUACGGGAAAGGGAAUAUAUGGAAUUAAAUAAUUCGAGUAAACAUAAAGAGGGGGAGAGUAUAGAGAAGAACAGAGAAGGGUUAACACAUCAAAUCAGGUACUCGCAACAUCCAACCUCUGGCUGGGGGAGCGCCUUGGUGAACAGCCCCCUCUGGAGUCCCGACUGAGGGUCCUGGGCAGAAUGUCCUCCCCUCGGGUGAAGCUUCCAACUAUUCCCGCCAGGGCAAUAUAUACACUACCCAUGUGUGACCUCUGGUUAGUCAUGAAGUUUGCCUAAGUGCAGUCCUGAGCAAGCUGGGUUUUUUCUCUGUGUCUCUUAUCCUAUCUCACAAUCUUAGGAGCCUGGGCCUGUGCACGUUUCUCUUCCCGCCCUGAUCCAUUCCAGGGGACCAGCCUGGUGUGGCUCGAGAAGGUGAGGCAAGUUAAUCCCCCUUGGCGUCAGGAACAGAAGGGCCAAUUCUGAUCCCGAGGCCAGAUACGGAGCACAAGCCAACUAAGCCCCCCAUGACGGUGUGUGUGUGGCUCUGGGCAGAAAUGCAUGACAAGUCUCACAAACACGCUCUAUACAGAACACAGGGAUCGCUUCCUCUGACCACCUCUGCAAGUAAUAAUAAUAAUAAUACUUAUUUAACAUUUUGUAAUAGUUGUCUUUUGCAUAAACUGAUUUAUUUAAUCCUCAUCCAAAUUGCUUUAAGAUAGGUAUUAUUAUCCCUGUUCACAGACGACAAUAUCGAGGCACCAAUAUUGAGGCACAGAGAGGUUAAAUUACUCGCACCAGCUCACACAGCUACAAAGUAGCAGAGCUGAUACUCAAAUCCAGACAGUCUGGCUGAGCCUGUGGAUAACAGCUCCCAAACAACAAAAUAGUAACGAUCUCCACCAUUGCUGGAGAACUCUUACGUGCCAAGCUCCACUAAAGACCCUACCUUACCUCUGUCAUUCCUUAUGACAACCCUAUGAGAUAGUAGCAUAUUGUUAACUGUUUUCUGUUGACAACUAAAGGCACAGAGGCAGAUGUGUGCUGAUUGCUAAGCCUGUAUGCUUCGCUGUCCGGUGGGCUAUGCUACGUGGUCCCCACUGAAUGGCCAGAGCAAGCGCUGUCCAAACCCAUAAGGGACCCGAAAGACCACAGUUCACCAGCCCACCUCUCCCUCCACCUUCUCGUUGGGCCUCCUUCUCUGGAAACUUCUUUGGGUCCUUCCAGACGUUCUCGGUAGAACAAGUGACACCAGGAACUCACUGAUAUUUGGAAGCCUGGUGGCUGCCUGGGACAAGCCAUCACUGUGUCAACCAGAGGGAUCCUUAUGUGUUACCAGUGUGAAAGCUUCUCGGAGCCAAGGGCUCAGUGGACUCAAUGGGAGCUCCUCUUAGCGGCAUAUGUCCCUGGGAGAAGGGAGUCAGGGGUCAGCUGUGGGAGGAGAGGCUUCACGCAACCCCCUCUCCACCCAUCUUCAAAGAGGGACAUCCCUAGCCAAGGGCUCACAGGGGCCCUCUACUUAUUCCUGGGCCUUUAUCAGGGCUUUUAAAGUCCCCUUUCACAGCCCGAAUAGUCAUUCUGCAGCCUGGGAAAUAGUAUCUCAACUAACCAGGCUUUUUGUUUUUUGUUUUUUGUUUUUUUUUUUAAAGAAGUAACAGUGUUGGUACUUACUGCUUAAGAAAGAUAGUGAAGCCUGGGGGGUAGGAACCUGAACAGACCCAGAUCGGCUGCUCUGGGCCAGUGGCCUAGCCUCUCUGAGCCUCUGCCUUGUCAUCUGUAAAAGGGGAAUGUCGGAAGUACCUACCUAUCUCACUGGGUAAUUGGCAUGGAUCAUGAGGGGGGAAAUGGUUGGGGAGGUGGGCAUGGGCCAGAUGAUGUAGGGCCUUCUGGACCCCGUUUAAGAGUUAGGCUUUGUCCUGAGCAUUUUGAGGACCCAUUGAACUAUUUGGAGAAGGAGAGUGGUAUGAUGAGUUCUAGGAAAAUCACCUGCUACUUGUGGAGAGGGUGCUGGGGGACAAAACUCCAGGGAGACCAGAGAAGAGGCUGUUGUAGGGUCCUGGGAACAUGGUGGCUUGGGCUGGGUUGUUGGCUGAGGAGAGAUAACGGGUGGACAUAAUCCAUGAUGUAUUAAAGAAGCAGAAACAUUUUGGCUGAGGGAUUGGACUGGAGGAGAGGAGAGGGCACAUCAGACUCCCCGUCUGGUUGUAAGACAUGGGCAACUGCGAGUUGGUGAUGGCGAUCGUUGACCAUGUGUGGAGGAGCAGACACAGGGGAGGGGGGAGACUCCAUUCAUUCAUUUACUCAUGUGUUGAUUCAUCACAUAUUUACUAAGUUCUUACGUGCAAAGCACUAGACUAGGGGCUAGACAUGAGACACAAGUCUGUGUUCUCACGCCUAUCGAUAAGCAAAUCAUCAGUCAACAGUUAAAACAAUUUUAGAUGCUACAAAAGUUUCAUGAAGCAAAUUGAGGCUCCUGGCUACCUUUCUGAUCUGAUUCCCUGCUGUCAUCCACCCCUUGCUCACUGUGCUGGAGUCUUGGUGGCCUUCUUUCUGUCCUUUGGACAGAAGAGCCACACAUAUUCCUGUCUGAGGACUUCGCUCGUGCCGUUCCCACUGCCUAUGACACUGUUCCCCCAGAUUUCCUCAGGACUGGUCUCUCACUUCAUUUGUGUCUCUACUUAAAUUUCACCUACUCAGAGAAACCUUCUCCAACCAUUUGAUCUGAAGUCACGUUAGCUGGUUUUUCUUCCUAGCGCCGGCUGCGAACUGAGUUAUAUUUUAGGCCUCGAUUGUUGUCUGCCCCUUCCAUUAGAACCUAAGCUCCGUGGGGGCCGAGGGUAGGGACUGUGGUCUGAUUGUUUAGGGCUGUGUCAUGGGCACCUAGAACAGUACCCAGCACGUAGUUGGGAUUCAGUAAAAUUCAGGGCACGUGAUAGGAAGCAACACACUUCCUGAUGCCAUUGUGGUUGGUAAGAGCCAUGUAACUAGUUGUGGCCAAUGAGUGGUGAGCAGAGGUGAUACCUGUCACUGUCAGUUCCAAGCAUGUGAGUAACCCAUGGGAGACCUCCGCUCCAUGACAGGAGGACCCUUGGUUGAUUUCUCUUCCUUCUGCACUAUGGUCACCAACAUCUCUGAUGGGUAGGGUGUCCCUGCUGGUCCACAAUGGACAUGGCGGACAGAUGAACCUUUGUUCCCUUAAGACUGAAAUUUUGGAUUUGUUUGUUUGCUCCAUCGUGAUGCAGACAAUUCUGAUGGAUCGACCUCCAAAUUCUGUGUUUUUGUGGUUGUUGGUAUUGCUUCAAAAGAACUUCCUCAAUGUGAAUAUCAUUCUAAUAAACCAGUGUAUCUGCUUCUCUGCCAAGAGCCUUUGCUGGGAAAGUGGUACCUAUUCCUCUCAGUUUGAGACCUUUAGGUAGAGUGCCAUUGGAGGCACAAAUGCAGAGGGGUGGCUCUGAGAUCCUUCGAGGGAGGGAGAGCUGGAGAGCCUGUGAUCUUGAGGCCCCCUUUUCCAUCUCUGAGGUCAGAGCAGGAGCUGGUUUGACCAGUUGGUGACAUGACACCAGGCAACUGCUUUGGAAAGUUUGUUUUGUGUUGUUUUUAGGUCUGGGAAUGACAGCUCCUAGGAGGGUUUGGCCUGAAAGGGUUCUCAUGGUUUGUGCUGGGAGGGGAGGAAGGUUGGAGGAGAUGAGGAGGACGUAUAGAGAAGGACAAGGAUAAACAAGAUACCUCCUUCUGAGCACUCUCUUAGCCUCACCCUGAGUAUGAAUUAAGAUUCAUUU
This is a long non-coding RNA of Felis catus (domestic cat), 8100 nucleotides long. RefSeq lists it as uncharacterized. The transcript has 4 exons. The record is from RefSeq and is a predicted model, not a curated record. NCBI's taxonomy places the organism in Eukaryota, Metazoa, Chordata, Mammalia, Carnivora, Felidae.